RNAcentral lists this long non-coding RNA (1756 nucleotides) under Macaca fascicularis (crab-eating macaque). Its description in RNAcentral is "lncRNA (ENSMFAG00000049976.1)". Lineage: Eukaryota; Metazoa; Chordata; Mammalia; Primates; Cercopithecidae. The record is from RNAcentral.
UUUUUUUUUUUUUUUUUUGAGACGGAGUCUCGCUCUGCCGCCCAGGCUGGAGUGCAGUGGCACGAUCUCGGCUCACUACAAGCUCCGCCUCCCAGGUUCACGCCAUGCUGCUGCCUCAGCCUCCAGAGUAGCUGGGACUACAGGCGCCCGCCACCACACCCAGCUAAUUUUUUGUAUUUUUAGUAGAGAUGGGUUUCACCAUGUUAGUCAGGAUGGUCUCUAUCUCUCGACCUCGUGAUCUGCCCGUCUCGGCCUCCCAAAGUGCUAGGAUUACAGGCGUGAGCCACCGCGCCUGGCUGUGAAUUUUUAGAAAUUGUAUGUAUUUUUGUUUUGUUUUGUUUUGUUUUUCCCAGAGUGCAAUUUGAAAAAAUAUUUGUGUAAAAGAGAGACACUAAAGUUUUUGCUUGCUCCUGUGCGCAUGGCCUGUGUCCUGGGGUGCAGGCGUCUGGGAGGAAAGGAGGCCUUCCUUUGAGAGAUGACAUUACCCCGUGGUUUCUAAGGGGGAAACACAUCACUGGGGAGUUGAAGUGGGUCUGUCCCCUUCCCUGUGUCAGGGGCCUGCUCAGGGCAGUGGUUCCUGCCUUCAUGAGGAGGCUUUCGUGAUUUUAAGGGGCCGGUGGUCUUCAGUUCGGAAACAGGCCUGCAGAGUAGGGUGUGGGUCCCAGGAGGUGCUCUGGUCAAAGCCGCAUUUCUAAGCAAGGGGGAGGCUGAGGUCUCCUUUGCAGUCCCCUGUGUCACGUAGGCCUCCGGGCGGUGGACACUCAGUGGGGUUUGGGUGCACAGGGUAUGCAGGGCGUUGUAACUCCUGUGAAAGACACCAGAGGGGAGUGGGACUGGCAGGCGAGCCUCAGACCCAGGCCCCAAGCAAAGGCUGGUGGCCAGGAGCAUGGGGCCGCGUACCCUGCCUGCUUGGACUGGCUGGGAUGCCUGAAGAGGGCAGCCUCGGCUUGCAUCCCAACAGCCUCCACUUGGUCUCUCUCUGUCUCUGCUCCUUCCUCAGCCAGGACCUUGGAGCUCCUCAGACUCUGACACUUGCUGAGAGGGUGCGAAGCAUGGACCACAGCUCACAGCUCUCACCUGCCCAGGCCCUGCACUGGGCUUUGCAGGUCCACAAUCUCCACCACGCAGCCACUGCACAGUGCAGUUACUGUUGCCCCACUUUGCAGGAGAGAUAAGAUCUGGACUCACACCCAGGGCUGCUACUCUGUGCAGACACUUCCCCACCGGCUGGCGCUGGCCUGCUCUUGUGACCUUGACUUUGACCUCCAGGCUGAUGAGGCCAGGCUCCUCUGGCAGUUGCUCUCUACUCUCUGCUGACCCCUGGGAUGGGGGAUGGAUGUGUUACAGGAAACGGGUCCGGAUCCAGACACCAAGAGGGGGUUCUUGGAGCUUGCACAAGAAAUAAUUCAGGGCAAGUCCGUAAAGUGAAAGCAAGUUUAUUAGGAAAAUAAAGGAAUUAAGAAUGGCUACUCCAUAGACAGAGCAGCCCCAGGACUGCUGGUCGCUCAUUUUUAUGAUUAUUUCUUGAUGAUAUGCUAAACAAGGGGUGGCUUAUUCAUGCCUCCCUUUUUUAGACCAAUAGGGUAACUUCCUGAUGUUGCCCUGGCGUUUGUAAACUGUCAUGGUGCUGGUGGGAGUAUAGCAAUGAGGACGGUCAGAGGUCACUCUUGUCUCCAUCUUGGUUUUGGUGAGUUUUAUCCAGCUUCUUUACUGCAACCUGUUUUAUCAGCAAGUUCUUUAUGACCUGUGUUUGUGC